This 492-nucleotide ribosomal RNA is filed under the name uncultured bacterium. RNAcentral's name for it is "partial 16S ribosomal RNA". It matches the Rfam family "Bacterial small subunit ribosomal RNA", at positions 29 to 507 of the family's 1533-position model. The record is from RNAcentral.
AGUGAACGCUGGCGGUAGGCCUAACACAUGCAAGUCGAACGGCAGCACAGUAAGAGCUUGCUCUUACGGGUGGCGAGUGGCGGACGUGUGAGGAAUACAUCGGAAUCUACUUUUUCGUGGGGGAUAACGUAGGGAAACUUACGCUAAUACCGCAUACGACCUACGGGUGAAAGCAGGGGAUCUUCGGACCUUGCGCGAUUGAAUGAGCCGAUGUCGGAUUAGCUAGUUGGCGGGGUAAAGGCCCACCAAGGCGACGAUCCGUAGCUGGUCUGAGAGGAUGACCAGCCACACUGGAACUGAGAAACGGUCCAGACUCCUACGGGAGGCAGCAGUGGGGAAUAUUGGCCAAUGGGGGCAAGCCUGAUCCAGCCAUACCGCGUGGGUGAAGAAGGCCUUCGGGUUGUAAAGCCCUUUUGUUGGGAAAGAAAAGCAGCAGGUUAAUACCCCGCUGUUCUGACGGUACCCAAAGAAUAAGCACCGGCUAACUUCGUG